UUCAGGAUCUGUCCUUUUUACCUCAAGGUACAGCUUGGUGUCAUCUGCAUAUUUCAGCACUGUGGCAUUCUUUAAGUCGGCAUCUAUGCCAUUAAUGUAUGCAACAAACAAAAGGGGACCAAGAACAGAUCUCUUAUUUGAAACAACAGA
This is a long non-coding RNA of Octopus sinensis (East Asian common octopus), 150 nucleotides long. RefSeq lists it as uncharacterized. The transcript is spliced from 3 exons. The record is from RefSeq and is a predicted model, not a curated record. Lineage: Eukaryota; Metazoa; Mollusca; Cephalopoda; Octopoda; Octopodidae.